This 199-nucleotide unclassified non-coding RNA is filed under the name Phylloporus sp. Its description in RNAcentral is "partial contains small subunit ribosomal RNA, internal transcribed spacer 1, and 5.8S ribosomal RNA". The stretch from base 1 to 46 matches the Rfam family "Eukaryotic small subunit ribosomal RNA", at positions 1786 to 1831 of the family's 1831-position model. Lineage: Eukaryota; Fungi; Basidiomycota; Agaricomycetes; Boletales; Boletaceae. The record is from RNAcentral.
AAGUCGUAACAAGGUUUCCGUAGGUGAACCUGCGGAAGGAUCAUUAACAAACAGCGAGCAAAAAGCGAAGCACGAUGUGUCAUGAAGUGUGCUGAUGGUGUCCCGGUGGGGAGUGGGAGCGCAGCAUGAACAAACGAUUGUCAGAUAGAAUAAGUGCGUAUAACGACAACAACUUUUAACAAUGGAUCUCUUGGCUCUU